AUAAUUUUUACGUAUAAAAUAAUUUUAAAUAAAAAAAUAUAACCAGCGAAUGAACACGCAGGAUAUGAAACACGCUUUAUUUAACUCCGAUAUUAUAAUAUAGCAAUCAGUAAACACGGUAUGAACGAUAAUGCAUGAUAAUACGCGAUAUGAAUGAUAAUAGAUAGUAGCGUAUAUAGCCACCUCGUUCCAGGGAUCGCGCUAAAAAACAAGACAGAGGGCGCGUUUUCGUAACGAGGAAGGGCGAAUUAGCAUUUUAUUGGUGUCGCGUCUUGCAAUAGCUUUGGGCAGAGAAAUAAACGAGGGGGGGGACGUUAAACUUCAUCGUCCAUCGGACACGCCUUGUCGCUGCAGGUGUGCUCCGCUAGGCCGUUAUUUAUUGCACAAACCCUCGUCGCAGCCUCCUACAACGAGGCUAUGCGUUUCGUUAUUUAUACGUUGGACGCGAUGCUCAUUUUUGCACUCACACGGUCCACGCUCACGGAAUAUUCGUCCCCAACCUCUAAAACGCCACCUUUCGAACACCGAUUCAACUUUCGCUUUGCUCGACCAAGACUCGACGAAGGGAUCGCGUGUUGGUCCGGGACGACGUGUCUUACACACCGCGUGAAACCUUAGAUGGGAAUUGUUCGGCCGCCCCGGCGUGUCCUCUCCAAGUCGAAGCUAGUCGAAGAUACUUGAUCUUGAUAGGAGGUAGGUCUCUCGAGGAACCGGUCGUGACUGUACCUACACGAGACAUCAUUAAUGCCACCGGGAAACGAGCGGCGAAACGAAAAUCGUCGGCCGUUGCCGGGAAGAGGGUGGCUGCCGGGUGCCUUCUCUUCUUGAACCGCGCACACGAUUUCUCCGUCUGGUGGGCAGCAGGCCGGGGAAGGAAGAGGAAAAAGGAGCAAACCGGUCGCGGAACGAGGCGAAACCUCUAGGACGAUAAUUAGCGAUCGAGGGUCCCGAGGAAGACUCGGGCCAUCUCGUUAUCCACGCCACGGCGCCCAGCGUGACGUCAUCGCGCGUGUGGAGACUGCCACGAAGAGGGUAUAAGGUACGCGUCGCGUGCACACACGUAUGCGUAAACAGGUGUGCAUGUACGAGGCUCGCGCGAACAGUGGUAGAGAGGGAGUAUCUAUUGGGAGAAGAUGAAAGAGAGAAGAAGAGAGUGGAAAUGAGGUAAAAAAAGAAAGGGAGAAGAACAGAAUCCGAAUACACAUCGGGACUUUUAGCGUAUACGUAGAGAACGGGAGAAUCCUACGCUUGUGUGUAAAGUAUCCAUUGGAUGGUAGAGGGGGAAGACGCGCCGAAGUAUCCCGAAGUCGACCGAAAGGUUUCCCCCACUCGCGUCGACGAUUCAGUCGGAGCUUCGCUUUCGUGUUUCCUCGGUUGCUUUCAUGUCAGUACGUUCUCGGCCGAUGUUAGGGGUAGUUCGUCUCUCGAUACGACGACUCGCACGUGUAUCGUUUAUGCCGCGUCGCAUUCUCGAUCGUAUCAUCGUCGUGCUUGUCGAACGAGGGCGUGCGCACGAAGGAAAAUAUUUGGAGGAAACGUGUGUCUCCGGUAUCUUUGUGAGUCGUUGACUUGGGAAUGACUUGAACGUAGUAAGGAAGACGCGCACUGUAUGAUCUGCUACCGUGUGCAAGCUUCGUGACUGCUCGUCGUCUUCGCGUUGACACGCGUUACCGUGCAUACGUUUACGUAGCUGAUUUAGUGUAUCGGAUAUCGGGUUGUGUAUAUGGUGUGUACACAAAACUCCAACGGACCGAGGUUAGCCGUCUGGUGGCGGGCAACUAGGCAGAAAAAAAAUAUAAAACAAUACACGGAAGAAGAAGCGUCGAGGUUUCGUGUAGAGAAGAGUGGUGAUUUCUGAACUCCGUAAUCGCAGUUAUCCCGGUCUUCGUUUACCCGAUAAUGGAUUAAUUUUCGCCGGGGAAUUCACCCCGGCUGCAACCUGGUCUGGAGCAGAACACACAGCACCGCGGCAGCACUCAGCGAUAAAUCAAGCAAUUAUGUGUACAAUAAGUAAACCGACGAUAUCGGAAUGUCUCUUAUCUGCAAGAUCUUGCUUUCUAAAAUCGGAAUUGGAUACAUGCAUUAAUCGAGA
Molecule: long non-coding RNA, 2092 nt
Filed under: Apis florea (little honeybee)
Lineage: Eukaryota; Metazoa; Arthropoda; Insecta; Hymenoptera; Apidae
Description: uncharacterized LOC116415072
Source: RNAcentral